ACACUUUAAUAGCCUCUGUUAACCAUCAUCUUAAGCAUUGCAUUAUCAAAGGUAUUACCAAUCAUUACAGGAGUUUAAGAGGAGGAAAAGUAAACUCAAAAAUAGACACUUUCCUUCUCCUUUAUCUUUAAUUUGCCCUGAAGUGAUUUCAUAUGUUUUUGUUUGUCUGUGUUCUGAAUGCUACUUCGUUUCUUUUUCAGAUGUGUUUUACAUGUUUACACAAGUGCACAAACUCUGCUGUGACCAUGUAAAAGUUAUUAGAACAGUAAAUAUAACCUAUAGCUGACUUGUUGGCUUCAUACCCACCAAUCAAAAUAAAACUCCAGAAAGAAAUUAGUGCUUCACAGCUCUAUGAAGAAUGAUAGAAAAUCUAAUAUCUGCUACCCCAAGACUAGCAAGCCAAUAGCUGUGGCUUGUCAUCAAGCCCAUUAAUAAUACCAGAUUUGGAAAAUAGGAAGUACAAUGGUCCCUGGCUGAUGGAAGACACAUGCCUUAAAGACAGCUGCACAGAACACAUCUU
This is a long non-coding RNA of Cygnus olor (mute swan), 520 nucleotides long. RefSeq lists it as uncharacterized. Lineage: Eukaryota; Metazoa; Chordata; Aves; Anseriformes; Anatidae. The record is from RefSeq and is a predicted model, not a curated record. The transcript has 3 exons.